RNAcentral lists this long non-coding RNA (259 nucleotides) under Salvia miltiorrhiza (redroot sage). RNAcentral describes it as "long non-coding RNA (SMIL_LNC008957)". The record is from RNAcentral. Lineage: Eukaryota; Viridiplantae; Streptophyta; Magnoliopsida; Lamiales; Lamiaceae.
AGAGAGAGAGAAGAGGGAAGGGUUGCGAUUUGGGGGGGAAGGGGGCUUGUUUGAGAAUUCUUUUUUUUUUAAAGGUAUAAGUGUCAGGGUUUUUAAAAAAUGAGUAUUAUUUAUAUGUUUUAGUUUAUGUUGGUAUUUUUUUGUUUUUAUCUUUGAGAAUGGUAAAACGUACCAUUAAGCCCAUAAAGAUAUAUAAUAAUGGGGUUGAGUACGAGUACAAACUCCUUUAACAUAAAAACUAAGAGUACUACAAUUAACC